AAUAAGUGCAGUCAUGGUUUUCCGCGCCCAACUUUAAUCAUUCGUCUUAUUUAAAAAAGUUGAAAAAAAAAUAAAAACAUAAGUCACGAGUAAAGUAUUAUUUAUGUUUUAUCAUCUUAUAACAAUAAAAAUAUUAAUUAUAAAAAAAUUUCAAAUAAGACGGAUGAUUAAAAUUGGACGCGAAAACUCAUGGUUGCACUUAUU
RNAcentral lists this microRNA precursor (204 nucleotides) under Oryza glumipatula. Its description in RNAcentral is "MIR812 microRNA precursor family". It matches the Rfam family "MIR812 microRNA precursor family". Lineage: Eukaryota; Viridiplantae; Streptophyta; Magnoliopsida; Poales; Poaceae. The record is from Rfam by way of RNAcentral.